AGUCUUCAACUGUUGUAGAACUUUAUUUGUAAGCAGCUUCACAUCACAUCCAGGAUUCAGUGGAAAAGAAAAUUCAAUAUUUAUCACAGCAGUUCAAAAUAAAUAUUUUUCACAUAUAGGCAUCUUCAUGCAAGAAAUCCUUCUCCAAAUUCAAUCACAAAUUAGCCUUUACAGAAAGAAAUCAACAUUUUUCACAGCAGUCCAAAAUAAGCUUCAAAA
Molecule: unclassified non-coding RNA, 219 nt
Filed under: Hevea brasiliensis (rubber tree)
Lineage: Eukaryota; Viridiplantae; Streptophyta; Magnoliopsida; Malpighiales; Euphorbiaceae
Source: RNAcentral